This 475-nucleotide ribosomal RNA is filed under the name uncultured bacterium. RNAcentral describes it as "bacterial SSU rRNA". It matches the Rfam family "Bacterial small subunit ribosomal RNA", at positions 93 to 603 of the family's 1533-position model. The record is from RNAcentral.
AAGUGGCAGACGGGUGAGUAACGCGUGGGAACCUGCCCUGUGGUAGGGAAUAACCGUGGGAAACUGCGGCUAAUACCCUAUGAGUCCUUCGGGAGAAAGAUUUAUCGCCAUAGGAGGGGCCCGCGUCGGAUUAGGUAGUUGGUGGGGUAACGGCCUACCAAGCCUUCGAUCCGUAGCUGGUCUGAGAGGAUGAUCAGCCACACUGGGACUGAGAUACGGCCCAGACUCCUACGGGAGGCAGCAGUGGGGAAUAUUGGACAAUGGGGGCAACCCUGAUCCAGCAAUGCCGCGUGGAUGAUGAAGGCCUUCGGGUUGUAAAGUCCUUUCGGCGGGGAAGAUGAUGACGGUACCCGCAGAAGAAGCCCCGGCUAACUUCGUGCCAGCAGCCGCGGUAAUACGGAGGGGGCUAGCGUUGUUCGGAAUUACUGGGCGUAAAGGGCGCGUAGGCUGUGCUGUAAGUCAGGCGUGAAAGCCC